RNAcentral lists this ribosomal RNA (181 nucleotides) under uncultured Chlamydiales bacterium. RNAcentral describes it as "partial 16S ribosomal RNA". It matches the Rfam family "Bacterial small subunit ribosomal RNA", at positions 307 to 481 of the family's 1533-position model. Lineage: Bacteria; Pseudomonadati; Chlamydiota; Chlamydiia; Chlamydiales. The record is from RNAcentral.
CCAACACUGGGACUGAGAACUGCCCAGACUUCUACGGGAGGCUGCAGUCGAGAAUCUUUCGCAAUGGGCGAAAGCCUGACGAAGCGACGCCGUGUGUGUGAUGAAGGCCUUCGGGUUGUAAAGCACUUUCGCUAGGGAACAAGAGACAACAGCUAAUAUCUGUUGAAUUUGAGAGUACCAU